Molecule: ribosomal RNA, 469 nt
Filed under: uncultured bacterium
Lineage: Bacteria
Description: partial 16S ribosomal RNA
Rfam family: Bacterial small subunit ribosomal RNA
Source: RNAcentral
GAUGAACGCUGGCGGCGCGCCUAACACAUGCAAGUCGAACGGUUAAAGCACCUUUUAGGUGUGUAUAAAGUGGCGAACGGCUGAGUAACACGUGGGCAACCUGCCCUCCUCUUGGGGAUAGCCUCGGGAAACCGAGGAUAAUACCCGAUACUUCAAUGUGGCCGCAUGACGACAUUGAGAAAGCUUUUGCGGAGAAGGAUGGGCCCGCGGCCUGUUAGCUUGUUGGUGGGGUAGAGGCCUACCAAGGCAAUGAUGGGUAGCUGGGUUGAGAGACCGACCAGCCAGAUUGGGACUGAGACACGGCCCAGACGCCUACGGGAGGCAGCAGGGGGGAAUCUUGCACAAUGGGCGAAAGCCUGAUGCAGCGACGCCGCGUGCGGGACGAAGGCCUUCGGGUUGUAAACCGCUUUCAGCAGGGACGAGGCGAUAAGUGACGGUACCUGCAGAAGAAGCCCCGGCUAACUACGUG